UACGGAGGGUGCAAGCGUUAAUCGGAAUUACUGGGCGUAAAGCGCACGUAGGGGGCGACGUAAGUCGGGUGUGAAAGCCCCGGGCUCAACCUGGGAAUUGCAUUCGAGACUGCAUUGCUGGAGUACGGAAGAGGAGGGCGGAAUUCCCGGUGUAGCGGUGAAAUGCGUAGAUAUCGGGAGGAACAUCAGUGGCGAAGGCGGCCCUCUGGUCCAGUACUGACACUCAAGUGCGAAAGCGUGGGGAGCAAACAGG
RNAcentral lists this ribosomal RNA (253 nucleotides) under uncultured bacterium. RNAcentral describes it as "partial 16S ribosomal RNA". It matches the Rfam family "Bacterial small subunit ribosomal RNA", at positions 524 to 776 of the family's 1533-position model. The record is from RNAcentral.